CUAAAAUGAAUGAAUAUCAACCUUUGAUUGGUAUAAUUUCCAAAUAGACAAGAAUUGCAUUCUAAGAAAUCUCAGAUGAAUGGAGGAAUAGGAAAUAAUGCAUUGUGUCCAUGGAAGUUUAUAUAGAAGAAAAUGAAGAUAGAGACCUUAAGAUGUGUCUCCUGAGGCAAGGGAAACAAAAGCAAAAUUAA
Molecule: long non-coding RNA, 191 nt
Organism: Prionailurus viverrinus (fishing cat)
Lineage: Eukaryota; Metazoa; Chordata; Mammalia; Carnivora; Felidae
Exons: 3
Source: RefSeq, a predicted model, not a curated record